RNAcentral lists this ribosomal RNA (305 nucleotides) under uncultured bacterium. Its description in RNAcentral is "bacterial SSU rRNA". It matches the Rfam family "Bacterial small subunit ribosomal RNA", at positions 333 to 655 of the family's 1533-position model. The record is from RNAcentral.
UAAUGCCUACGGGAGGCAGCAGUGGGGAAUAUUGCACAAUGGGGGGAACCCUGAUGCAGCGACGCCGCGUGAGUGAAGAAGUAUUUCGGUAUGUAAAGCUCUAUCAGCAGGGAAGAAAAUGACGGUACCUGACUAAGAAGCCCCGGCUAACUACGUGCCAGCAGCCGCGGUAAUACGCAGGGGGCAAGCGUUAUCCGGAUUUACUGGGUGUAAAGGGAGUGUAGGCGGGAAGGCAAGUCAGAAGUGAAAAUUAUGGGCUCAACCCAUCACAUGCUUUUGAAACUGUUUUUAUUGUGUGAAGCAGA